CCUACGGGGGGCAGCAGUGGGGAAUAUUGGACAAUGGGGGCAACCCUGAUCCAGCCAUGCCGCGUGUGUGAAGAAGGCCCUCGGGUUGUAAAGCACUUUCAGUGAGGAAGAACGCCUGGUGGUUAAUACCCAUCAGGAAAGACAUCACUCACAGAAGAAGCACCGGCUAACUCCGUGCCAGCAGCCGCGGUAAUACGGAGGGUGCGAGCGUUAAUCGGAAUUACUGGGCGUAAAGCGCGCGUAGGUGGCUUGACAAGCCGGUUGUGAAAGCCCCGGGCUCAACCUGGGAACGGCAUCCGGAACUGUCAAGCUAGAGUGCAGGAGAGGAAGGUAGAAUUCCCGGUGUAGCGGUGAAAUGCGUAGAGAUCGGGAGGAAUACCAGUGGCGAAGGCGGCCUUCUGGACUGACACUGACACUGAGGUGCGAAAGCGUGGGUAGCAAACAGGAUUAGAUACCCGGGUAGUC
RNAcentral lists this ribosomal RNA (465 nucleotides) under Vreelandella stevensii. RNAcentral's name for it is "partial 16S ribosomal RNA". It matches the Rfam family "Bacterial small subunit ribosomal RNA", at positions 338 to 795 of the family's 1533-position model. The record is from RNAcentral. Lineage: Bacteria; Pseudomonadati; Pseudomonadota; Gammaproteobacteria; Oceanospirillales; Halomonadaceae.